Molecule: ribosomal RNA, 253 nt
Filed under: uncultured bacterium
Lineage: Bacteria
Description: partial 16S ribosomal RNA
Rfam family: Bacterial small subunit ribosomal RNA
Source: RNAcentral
UACGGAGGAUGCAAGCGUUAUCCGGAAUGAUUGGGCGUAAAGCGUCCGCAGGUGGCUGUGUAAGUCUGCUGUCAAAGAGCGAAGCUCAACUUCGUAAAGGCAGUGGAAACUACACGGCUAGAGUGCGUUCGGGGCAGAGGGAAUUCCUGGUGUAGCGGUGAAAUGCGCAGAUAUCAGGAGGAACACCGGUGGCGAAGGCGGGUCUCUGGGCCGAUACUGACGCUGAGGAGCGAAAGCUAGGGGAGCAAACGGG